GAUGAACGCUGGCGGCGUGCCUAAUACAUGCAAGUCGAGCGAACGGACGAGAAGCUUGCUUCUCUGAUGUUAGCGGCGGACGGGUGAGUAACACGUGGAUAACCUACCUAUAAGACUGGGAUAACUUCGGGAAACCGGAGCUAAUACCGGAUAAUAUUUUGAACCGCAUGGUUCAAAAGUGAAAGACGGUCUUGCUGUCACUUAUAGAUGGAUCCGCGCUGCAUUAGCUAGUUGGUAAGGUAACGGCUUACCAAGGCAACGAUGCAUAGCCGACCUGAGAGGGUGAUCGGCCACACUGGAACUGAGACACGGUCCAGACUCCUACGGGAGGCAGCAGUAGGGAAUCUUCCGCAAUGGGCGAAAGCCUGACGGAGCAACGCCGCGUGAGUGAUGAAGGUCUUCGGAUCGUAAAGCUCUGUUAUUAGGAAAGAACAUAUGUGUAAGUAACUGUGCACAUCUUGACGGUACCUAAUCAGAAAGCCACGGCUAACUACGUG
This 497-nucleotide ribosomal RNA is filed under the name uncultured bacterium. RNAcentral describes it as "partial 16S ribosomal RNA". It matches the Rfam family "Bacterial small subunit ribosomal RNA", at positions 28 to 507 of the family's 1533-position model. The record is from RNAcentral.